RNAcentral lists this ribosomal RNA (424 nucleotides) under Cytherissa tuberculata. RNAcentral's name for it is "partial small subunit ribosomal RNA". The record is from RNAcentral. Lineage: Eukaryota; Metazoa; Arthropoda; Ostracoda; Podocopida; Cytherideidae.
UUUAAUAGUCGAACAGACUAGCUCACUUAGCUACUACACUAAGCAGCGCCUUUAAUUCAACAUCGAGGUCACAAGAUCUUUUAUCGAUUAGGCCUCUCUAAAAGCAUUGUGCUGUUAUCCCUGAGGUAACUACCCUUUAACUUAUUAAAGAUCACAACAGUGCCUAAGUCAUUGGUUUAUAAACUAGAUGUGUUAAUUUACCGCCCCAGUUUGACACAACAGCAACGAAUACUCAAAUUGUUUGGGUGCGGGUUCGCCCCUAAGCCAGCUCUGCAGGGUCUUAUCUUCCCAUUGAAUGGUCUUGAAGUUUUAAUCAAAACCUUAAAUUCUAGAUUUACAGGCUUACAAGUUGUCUUUCAUGAACCCCUUCAUUCUAGACCCCAAUUAAGAGCCAAGUUAUUAUGCUACCUUUGCACAGUUAAGG